This 437-nucleotide ribosomal RNA is filed under the name Proteus mirabilis. RNAcentral's name for it is "bacterial SSU rRNA". It matches the Rfam family "Bacterial small subunit ribosomal RNA", at positions 16 to 449 of the family's 1533-position model. Lineage: Bacteria; Pseudomonadati; Pseudomonadota; Gammaproteobacteria; Enterobacterales; Morganellaceae. The record is from RNAcentral.
AUCAUGGCUCAGAUUGAACGCUGGCGGCAGGCCUAACACAUGCAAGUCGAGCGGUAACAGGAGAAAGCUUGCUUUCUUGCUGACGAGCGGCGGACGGGUGAGUAAUGUAUGGGGAUCUGCCCGAUAGAGGGGGAUAACUACUGGAAACGGUGGCUAAUACCGCAUAAUGUCUACGGACCAAAGCAGGGGCUCUUCGGACCUUGCACUAUCGGAUGAACCCAUAUGGGAUUAGCUAGUAGGUGGGGUAAAGGCUCACCUAGGCGACGAUCUCUAGCUGGUCUGAGAGGAUGAUCAGCCACACUGGGACUGAGACACGGCCCAGACUCCUACGGGAGGCAGCAGUGGGGAAUAUUGCACAAUGGGCGCAAGCCUGAUGCAGCCAUGCCGCGUGUAUGAAGAAGGCCUUAGGGUUGUAAAGUACUUUCAGCGGGGAGGAA